This 1895-nucleotide small RNA is filed under the name Vigna angularis var. angularis. RNAcentral's name for it is "Non-protein coding transcript". The record is from RNAcentral. Lineage: Eukaryota; Viridiplantae; Streptophyta; Magnoliopsida; Fabales; Fabaceae.
AUAUAGUCCAAUAAGGUUACGCCACGUGUCCAAUAUAAAUGGUUUGGCCCAAUCGCGAAGAAGCCGUGACGCUACUCUCGCUGGAUCACUAAAUUAAUUGUAGUGUAUAGAAUUAGGUUUGUUAAAUAUAAAUAAGAGGGGUAAAUAAAGGAAACCGUGUUUCACUAGGAUCGCACAUUCACACAAGCGAGUAAAUAAGGUUGGAGAGGGCGCUGCCGGAGGAACACCGUCUUUCAUUUUUCCGGCCAUCUCUUGUUUCUUCCACCAGUCGGCGAUCCCUUUUCUCUGACACCAAACAUGACGACAUCAAGGCGCUUUGCUGACAGGAAAGUGGAGAAGUUUGAGAAGAACAUUACCAAAAGAGGAUUUGUGCCGGACACAACCUCUAAAAAGGGAAAAGACUAUCCUGUUGGUCCACUGCUGCUGGGUUUCUUCGUCUUUGUUGUCAUUGGCUCAUCUCUCUUCCAGAUUAUCAGAAUAGCAACAAGUGGAGGCAUGGCUUAAUGGAGCUUUGUUUUGGAUUGUGUCAUCUUCUCUUUCUUAGCCUCGUAGAAAAUGCCAAUACUUCCCUACAUCUAAUGUACUUGUACAAGACCGAGUUCCUGUUCAUGUUUUGAUGAACUUUAAGAAUUUUUAAUUUAAGUUACAACUAUAGUUCAUCUUGUUUUUAAUCCUUCCUAUAGAAGGGAAUACGAGAGUUAAUUCUUUACGCUUGGGCGGGGGUUGGUAUGAAUGGUUUUAAAAGUUAGCUAUGAAUUUUGAAGUGGUGCAUGCAACACUCGGAAAGGUUCAAAAGAAGAUAUAUGAUAUCACUUAAUCAUUUAACAUUCAACAAAAGUUUAUGACGCUUUCAGUAGAUUCUCUCUAGGGCUUGUUUGUAUUCCAACGCCAACAUGCUACAUUCCUUUAGUGUUUUGAGCGCAGAGCCUCAGACGGUAAGGAAACUUCUGUGCAACAAGGCCAACAAUAGUCGCGGAGUUCAAUAUAGUCUGAAUUAUUAGUAUGGUUCAUUAAUAAUAAUGUUAGGUUUUUUUUACUUGCUACAUAUAUUUUUUUUUCAAUUUAUGCCAAUUUUUUUUUAAUCCUCGGGCCAUAACCUAAAACAUUGAAAGAUAGACAACCUUUCGACUAGUGAAUAGAGUAAACAAACAUAUAGAUUACAUGUAUUCUACUGAACAUAGAUAAGCGGUUGUUGGUUCUUUAUUCCCACGGUUUUAAAAUAGACAACUAUCGUAAACAGUAAAAUAAUAAUGACCUUUAACUUAAUAUACACUACAUCGAUGCGUAGUUGGGGAGAGGCAUCCAAAAUUGAAAUCCCAGCUUCUAACCGUGACAAGCUGGAAGGAGAGUGAGAAAAGCUACACGUGUGUAACAAAGAUCCCACAUUUUGGAGACAGAUUUGUAUAAAAGUACAUGUUAUAUAAUGCAAGACUGCAAGAGCAAAGUAUGAGGUGCCUAGUGACACCGGGGUAACCCAUGGUUUAUAGUCCUUGUGAAGGGAGUGUCCAGAUUGAGAACGUUCGAGGAUCUUAAUAUGCCAUUCUCCCUGACUUCGGAAGCUUCAAUUCUGAAUUGCUCCAUCUCCAGUUUGGACCUUUCAGCCAGAAAACAUGAUUGAUCUAACAGAAAUUAAACUUUCAUAUACAGAAAAAAAAAAAAGCCUUGAAAGCAAGGUGAUCGAAGUGCAUGUUUGAGAGUACGAUACAAACCCGUAUCGUUUUCCAUCUGCUUUGUUAACCAGCAAUGAACAUUAUCAAUCAUACAUCAGCGUUAACCGCGGGUAAAUUGCAAGGAACCUCAUGAUUCGAGGGAAAUAUUCUCAGGCCAUUUCUGCUGUAUUAUGCAAGCUUAAAUCAAGCCGUCGCAGUGAGGCACGGAUAAAAUGCAGUACCAUG